Molecule: long non-coding RNA, 976 nt
Filed under: Fragaria vesca (wild strawberry)
Lineage: Eukaryota; Viridiplantae; Streptophyta; Magnoliopsida; Rosales; Rosaceae
Description: long non-coding RNA (FVES_LNC003786)
Source: RNAcentral
GGAGUUGGGAUAUAAUAAUAAUCAUUUGAUUAUAAAUUGAACGAUGAUAACCACAAAUUUCUAGCAAAAAUUAGACGAAAUAAUAUGUAAAAAGAGGUACCAAAUAGUAAAUAUAUAUUAAUUAUAUUAAAUAACGGAAUAUUUCAUAAAUUCAGGGCAUUUUAGGCAGUUUGGGAUGUGUAUUAAGUAUAAUACUGAAAUGAAAAACUUGAUAGGUGGUGUAUUAAGUAAGGGGUGUGUAUUAAGAUAUUAAGGGUGUGUAUUUAAAAUUUCUCUUUUAAUACUAAAAGUAUGGAAAAAAAAUGUGUAUUUAGUAUUUUGCAAUAUGUGAAUAAAAUUUCUCUUAUUAACCUUCUUACCUAUAAAAUUCAAAACAUACAACUAUUUUUAUUUUGUCAUUAUCAAAACCAAAAAAUUUCCUAAAACCAUAACCAUUUAUUGACAUUUUCUUUUAAUUUUAUUGAAUAAAAUUUUGACAUUUUCAGAAUUUCAUAAAUUUUAAAACUUCAAAAAAGAUUAAUAAAUAGCUUAGGUGCCCGGAAAAUUUCUCGAAAACUCAUAUACAUUCACGACAAUGGGCUAUGUCCAUAUACCUAAAUAUUUUGAGACAUUCAUCCCCGCUUGACACGGCUACCCUUAAGGCGGUAAGGCAAUACAUGAGGUUAACCGCUUCGAUCGAGGUCUAAACAUUAUCAAAAAUAUGUGAUUUUUCUGUCGUAACCGUAUUUCAACGUACCGAUCACAUCCUAUGGUUGAGUUUUUAAAAUUCUAUUUGCUAGAUACUGUUGGUUCACACAAAUGUAUACUUUCAUAUAACCCACUAAACAAGUUAUACCACAUUAGUAGGUACGUUGUGGUUUCAAUGACUAAAAUUCAAAAAAUGAAAAUUCGACCGUCAGAUGUGAUAAGUACACUUAAAUAUAGCUAUGAAGAAAAAUUCAUUUACCUCCCGAAGACAAGGCUACCCAUAGAGAAG